CCCUCUCUACUUCUCUCUAAAGUUUUAGACUAUGUUCUAAUGAAUUUGGGUAUUUCAGGGUGUGUUUGGUUGCACCGUUGUUUGUGAAAUGUCAUGGUAUUUUGCACCAAAUUGGACUGACUGAACAUGGAAUGUCAUGAAAUUCAUGAUAUUUGGUACAACCAAAAGCACCCUAAAUUAUGAAAAUCAUGAAGAAAAAAAGAAAUAAAGUUAAAAAGGUAAGGUAGUGGGAGGAGUAUUACAUUGAACGUGAGAAAGUGGUUCCCAAGGGCAUUGAUAAUACCAUAAGACCCAUAACUUGAAUUUUGAGAGAUGAUCACAUACACUCCAGUGGAAUUUUUUUGUAAUUCCAUCUUGGGUACGGCGCAAUGUCUGCCUCUGCCACAGGGGGGUUGGAAAUUGGAAUGGGAUUCGACAGGAGUGAAAUGGAGAAGAGGCCCUUCCAUGCACCUGAUACAUUCAUUGGUUGUCGUGAGCAUUUCCUGACCCAAAAAUCAGGCCGGCCCACUCAUCAUGUCAUCUGCUGAAAUGCAUUUUGAACGUGGACUGUUGUUUAGUUUUUCUGUCUUUUUUCCUUUAAAAAAAGUGGCCUAAGGGAUGGGUGGACUGACCUGAUUUUUGGGCUCAGGUAUGUUCAAGGAGGUCACCACCUGAUGAACCGCCGGGAUCUGCCCUGGAUGGCCCCUUUACCCAUUCAAUCAAUCCUGCCCCUUUGUGGGGCUCAUGGCCUAUGCUACAAUAAAAUACCAUCGCUUGACAGAGUCGGUUUCAUUAGGUGAGAUAUAUUUGUAUUAUUCUCAUUGACAGUAAGUUGGGAUUGGCAUGGCAGAAACAGAACCCCUAACAGAUUUAUUGAUUUAAAUUCAAUACAAAAGCUACCCAACAACUUGUAGAAUAAGCUCAUUAUAUGACAUGGUGAGUGAUAUCGUUCUCGCAUCCAAACAGUCCAUAAGGUGCAUCCCUUCAAGUUCACCCCAUGUCCCAAGAAUCAACCCAAUCCAACACACAGGUGGGUUACAUGCCACUGGAAACAUUUGGGAUGUGAAGGCCCACAAUUAAAGCCUUCCAGAUUGAAUGUGGGGCCCAUCAUGUUUUGCAUAUGCCGUCCAAUCCAUUUAGAAGAUCCACUAGCAUGAAUGGACACGGAUACCCCAAGGUUCAGGCCAUUCCAAAACUCAAGUGGGCAACACCAUGUGAUUUUGGAGUUUUACUCGUGAUUUUACAUGGUGUGGCCCACCUGAGUUUUGGAUCAUCACAUUUUUUUUUUCCACCUCCAAGGAGAGCAUGAGUGGACACACGUGAUGAACUGAUUAAAUGUCAUGCACACAUCAAGGUAGGCCCCACACACCAUGUUGUCGAAUAAGCUUAUUUUUACAAACGUAGUAGAGAACUGUUCUCAACAAUAAAACAUACAGGACCUGCCAGAUUCCUUGAGUAAAGCAAAAAAAGAAUAGGAUAGGCUCGCAAGCCAUACAAAAUAUGCAUUUUGCCUUUGGCAACAAUGUCCAUGAAAAUUUGGGCAAGUUCCAAUGUUUUGCAUCAUAACAGCAAGGGCCUGAUUUCGAGAUACUAUGAGACAUUGGCUGCUAUGUGCUGCACCUGAUGGAGAGCUCAGGUCAAUCCAUUGGAUUCUCACUAUUCCAAUACAAGUAGGAGUGCUAUAACUUGUAGUUCUCUAAGAGCAGCGGAUCAUUUCUCCUAUAAUACAUGUAUGCAUGCAGUAUUCCGAUACAAGUAGUACUGUAACUUGUAGUUCUCUUACAGCAGCAGAUCAUUCCACAGUCCCUGCCAUGCACACACCUAUACACGUGCCCCCAUCCACCCACUCUAUCAAGGACCAAAAACAAUAAAGUAUUAAAUGAAGGUCUUUUAUAAAAGGGUGAAGCUUUGUUAUACUAUUUUAAGAGAGGAAAAAUAGAACUUUAAAUAAAAUAUUUAAAGAUCAAGAUCCUCAUAAAAGAUAUGGUAGGUUUGAUGAAUGGUGGAUUAAGACAUAAUUACUUCAGAACUUAUAGGGUCUUUGUGCAUCAGAACAUGAAUUGUCUCAAUGCAUCCGUUUUGGAAAAAUGGAGUCCAUUGUUCAUAGAUCUAGAUGGUUGAUGGUAUGCACCCUCCAUGGAUGGGGUUUGACCUAUAUUCUUCCCAAUUUUAAGAUACUGACGCUGUUUUUCCAUUUGUCUAGACUGUUGUUGUAUAUUCUCCGUAACUGUUCAUUUUUUGGCUGCUCAUAGAAGGGCUUGGAUCUUCCAACCUAGGAGCUCUUUGUGGGUUGCCCCAUCCAUGAUGCUGUUUUAUCAGAUCAGUGAUCUGGAUCAUCCACCAAGUCUACUACUUCAUAAACUAGUGCAUCAGGACACUACUCACAUUUUAAUGCAUCAGAAUUCAUAAUUUCUCCAGUUCCUUACAGUUUUCUCUUGUAUUUUUGAGGAGAGAUUUGAGAAAUCACCAGCUGAGCUCGAGAUGGGAACCCACCCAUCUAAAGCAUCUCUACGUUACAAAUGGUACCUUUUCUGAGGCAUUUGAGACCAUUGGUAUUUGGCAUUAUCGCCUGGAAGUGAAACAAUAUAAAAGAAAUUGUAGAACAAUCUCACUCUCUGAAUGUUUGCAAAGUUCAACAAGUAAAUGUGGGUUGGUGCU
Molecule: long non-coding RNA, 2637 nt
Organism: Magnolia sinica
Lineage: Eukaryota; Viridiplantae; Streptophyta; Magnoliopsida; Magnoliales; Magnoliaceae
Exons: 2
Source: RefSeq, a predicted model, not a curated record